CAGAACUACAAGUCCCAGAAAGCUACGGAUGGGUCACGCCCACUUCCGGGACCCACUUCCGGUGGCGGUCGAGGGCUUCCAGCGAAGCUCGGCGCAGGGCGGGUUCCCAGCUGAGGCUGCUGCUUUUCGCUGUUUGAGGUCAAUGACUAGUUCAUUUCACGAGAUCUUCCCUGGGUUGUUUGCGUUGUUACAAACGUGUAAGAAUUAUUUUAGGAGUACCCAUUAAAGUGUUUUGCAUUUUGCUAAAGUGCUAGUAGGAGAAAAGAAGCACUCAUUCGCCAUCACUCUGUGGGGACAGAGCCAGGAGUGCAGUUUCCAGGCUCUCGGCUUCACGUGGAAAGGUGCUGGCUGAGGUAGUAAAUGGCCGUCAGCUGUAACCAGUGAGCCAUUGGCCACUAAUAUAACUGCUGUGGCUAUGCUAGCAGAACAUGGGGGGCUAGCAAGAAGAUGGUGGCUGAGCCUGCAAGCGGCUCAAUGAGGGUUGCGAACAGUGUGGCUCCUGCUUCCUGUGUCUCCCAUCCAGCUGCCAGCGGGAAUAUAAUGCACUCUUCUACUGGUUCCUGUGUUGUCACUGCACUUCCCCACCUUCCUUCAAAUUCUGUGGACUUUCUCAGAGAUGUUAGGCACAGACAAGUAGGGACACUACUGAGUGGAUAACGGCUUAAGGAGCCUCCCCCAAUCCAAGGUUAAAUGUAUUUUCAUUAUGUAACCCUGUAAGGAAUAGAAAAUAUGAAGGUCUGCAUGGGAACAUUUGGGGAUGUAAACUCUCACAGUGGCUGGGGUACGUGCUUGGCCUUGGAAGGAUUGGGUACCCUCCCAGGGACCAAGAAAAUAUUUACAGGAUGUGGAGCCUGGCCUUCGCUUUGGUGCAGGUGGGCCGAGCUCCGACACAUCUAAUCUCGUACCAAGGACUGGCCCCGGCUCCUAGCCAGAUCCCAGACCAGUUCCUUGUGUUGUUAACACGUAUGCUUAUUGGCUCCUUGCCGCUGCUGUUAGUGAAGUCCUCAAAACCCCAGAAAGCCGAGUAGGGCGCAGCAGUAGGUGUUGUUCCCCAGCCGCCUGGGCUGCUGCAAGAUAUUCCGCCCGUGCUGAUGACUCUACUUGACUGGGAUUUUGCCUACGCUGAUGAAGGACCGGUGCUGUUUCUGCGCAUGAUGUUUUGCCCGUGCUGAUGAAAGACCGUUGCUGUUUCUACGAGUCUAAUUGACUGGGCC
This 1214-nucleotide long non-coding RNA is filed under the name Rhinolophus ferrumequinum (greater horseshoe bat). Its description in RNAcentral is "lncRNA (ENSRFEG00010010925.1)". The record is from RNAcentral. Lineage: Eukaryota; Metazoa; Chordata; Mammalia; Chiroptera; Rhinolophidae.